ACGAACGCUGGCGGCGUGCUUAAUACAUGCAAGUCGAACGGAAAGGCCCUGCUUUUGUGGGGUGCUCGAGUGGCGAACGGGUGAGUAACACGUGAGUAACCUGCCCUUGACUUUGGGAUAACUUCAGGAAACUGGGGCUAAUACCGGGUAGGAGCUCCUGCUGCAUGGUGGGGGUUGGAAAGUUUCGGCGGUUGGGGAUGGACUCGCGGCUUAUCAGCUUGUUGGUGGGGUAGUGGCUUACCAAGGCUUUGACGGGUAGCCGGCCUGAGAGGGUGACCGGCCACAUUGGGACUGAGAUACGGCCCAGACUCCUACGGGAGGCAGCAGUGGGGAAUAUUGCACAAUGGGCGGAAGCCUGAUGCAGCAACGCCGCGUGCGGGAUGACGGCCUUCGGGUUGUAAACCGCUUUCGCCUGUGACGAAGCGUGAGUGACGGUAAUGGGUAAAGAAGCACCGGCUAACUACGUG
This 467-nucleotide ribosomal RNA is filed under the name uncultured bacterium. Its description in RNAcentral is "partial 16S ribosomal RNA". It matches the Rfam family "Bacterial small subunit ribosomal RNA", at positions 29 to 507 of the family's 1533-position model. The record is from RNAcentral.